This 377-nucleotide ribosomal RNA is filed under the name uncultured bacterium. RNAcentral describes it as "bacterial SSU rRNA". It matches the Rfam family "Bacterial small subunit ribosomal RNA", at positions 524 to 898 of the family's 1533-position model. The record is from RNAcentral.
UACGAGAGGUGCAAGCGUUAUUCGGAAUCAUUGGGCGUAAAGGGUGCGUAGACGGUAUGUUAAGUCUGUUGUUAAAUACCUCGGCUCAACCGAGGACAUGCAGCGGAUACUGGCAUGCUAGAGGGUGGAAGAGAGAAGUGGAAUUCUUGGAGUAGCGGUAAAAUGCGUAGAUCUCAAGAGGAACACCGAUGGCGAAGGCAGCUUCUUGGUCCAUACCUGACGUUGAGGCACGAAAGCGUGGGGAGCAAACAGGAUUAGAUACCCUGGUAGUCCACGCUGUAAACGAUAAUCACUAGACGUUGGUCUUGUUUAACAGGAUCAGUGUCGAAGCUAACGCGUUAAGUGAUUCGCCUGGGAAGUACGGUCGCAAGAUUAAA